UACGUGGGUGGCAAGCGUUGUCCGGAAUUAUUGGGCGUAAAGCGCGCGCAGGCGGCCUCUUAAGUCUGAUGUGAAAGCCCCCGGCUCAACCGGGGAGGGCCAUUGGAAACUGGGAGGCUUGAGUAUAGGAGAGAAGAGUGGAAUUCCACGUGUAGCGGUGAAAUGGCGUAGAGAUGUGGAGGAACACCAGUGGCGAAGGCGACUCUUUGGCCUAUAACUGACGCUGAGGCGCGAAAGCGUGGGGAGCAAACAGG
This 254-nucleotide ribosomal RNA is filed under the name uncultured bacterium. RNAcentral's name for it is "partial 16S ribosomal RNA". It matches the Rfam family "Bacterial small subunit ribosomal RNA", at positions 524 to 776 of the family's 1533-position model. The record is from RNAcentral.